RNAcentral lists this long non-coding RNA (203 nucleotides) under Brassica napus (rape). RNAcentral describes it as "long non-coding RNA (BNAP_LNC021940)". Lineage: Eukaryota; Viridiplantae; Streptophyta; Magnoliopsida; Brassicales; Brassicaceae. The record is from RNAcentral.
UUGAAAUCUUAUCCCCAAAACCUCAUUUCUAAACUCUAAACCCUAAACCCUAAACUCUAAACCCUAAACCCUAAACCCUAAACUCUAAACCCUAAACCCUAAACCCUAAACUCUAAACCCUAAACCCUAAACCCUAAACCGUAAACUCUAAACCUUAAACCCUAAACUCUAAACCAUAAACCCUAAACCCUAAAUCCUAAAUC